Molecule: non-coding RNA, 30 nt
Filed under: Rattus norvegicus (Norway rat)
Lineage: Eukaryota; Metazoa; Chordata; Mammalia; Rodentia; Muridae
Source: RNAcentral
UUGAAUAGGACUAUUUGAAUGAAUGCAGGA